GGGUCAGUAGGUUGGUCGUGCCACCGGUACGUACUGGUCUCACUGAUUCCUCCUUCCUGAAGAACCAUAAUGCCAUUAAUUUGGUGUUGCGGGGAAACAGGACUGUUACUUUGAAAAAAUUAGAGUGUUUAAAGCAAGCUAACGCUUGAAUACAUUGGCAUGGAAUAAUGAAAUAGGACGAUCGAUCCUAUUUUGUUGGUUUCUAGGAUUGACGUA
Molecule: ribosomal RNA, 216 nt
Filed under: Glomeromycotina sp.
Lineage: Eukaryota; Fungi; Glomeromycota
Description: partial small subunit ribosomal RNA
Rfam family: Eukaryotic small subunit ribosomal RNA (bases 40-216)
Source: RNAcentral